RNAcentral lists this ribosomal RNA (400 nucleotides) under uncultured bacterium. RNAcentral's name for it is "bacterial SSU rRNA". It matches the Rfam family "Bacterial small subunit ribosomal RNA", at positions 355 to 772 of the family's 1533-position model. The record is from RNAcentral.
UGGGGAAUCUUGGACAAUGGGGGCAACCCUGAUCCAGCCAUGCCGCGUGGACGAUGAAGGCCUUAGGGUUGUAAAGUCCUUUCGCCGGGGAAGAUAAUGACGGUACCCGGUAAAGAAGCCCCGGCUAACUCCGUGCCAGCAGCCGCGGUAAUACGGAGGGGGCUAGCGUUGUUCGGAAUUACUGGGCGUAAAGCGCACGUAGGCGGAUCAGUCAGUCAGGGGUGAAAUCCCGGGGCUCAACCCCGGAACUGCCUUUGAUACUGCUGGUCUGGAGGAUGGGAGAGGCGAGUGGAAUUCCGAGUGUAGAGGUGAAAUUCGUAGAUAUUCGGAGGAACACCAGUGGCGAAGGCGGCUCGCUGGCCCAUUACUGACGCUGAGGUGCGAAAGCGUGGGGAGCAAA